GGGGGAAUAUUGCGCAAUGGGGGAAACCCUGACGCAGCAACGCCGCGUGUGUGAAGAAGGCCUUCGGGUCGUAAAGCACUGUUGGGAGGAACGAGCCGCUCAAGUAACCCUUGAGCCCGACGGUACCUCCUGAGGAAGCACCGGCUAACUCCGUGCCAGCAGCCGCGGUAAUACGGAGGGUGCAAGCGUUGUUCGGAAUUAUUGGGCGUAAAGCGCGCGCAGGCGGCCCGUUAAGUCUGAUGUGAAAACC
RNAcentral lists this ribosomal RNA (250 nucleotides) under uncultured bacterium. RNAcentral's name for it is "partial 16S ribosomal RNA". It matches the Rfam family "Bacterial small subunit ribosomal RNA", at positions 355 to 602 of the family's 1533-position model. The record is from RNAcentral.